UACGGAGGAUGCGAGUGUUAUCCGGAUUUAUUGGGUUUAAAGGGUGCGUAGGCGGGUUCUUAAGCGUGAGGUGAAAUGCUCCGGCUCAACCGGAGAACUGCCUCGCGAACUGGGAGUCUUGAAUGCCCCUGCCGUGGGAGGAAUGUGUGGUGUAGCGGUGAAAUGCACAGAGAUCACACAGAACACCGAUUGCGAAGGCAUCUUACGAAGGGGUGAUUGACGCUGAGGCACGAAAGCGUGGGGAUCAAAC
RNAcentral lists this ribosomal RNA (250 nucleotides) under uncultured prokaryote. RNAcentral's name for it is "partial 16S ribosomal RNA". It matches the Rfam family "Bacterial small subunit ribosomal RNA", at positions 524 to 773 of the family's 1533-position model. The record is from RNAcentral.